RNAcentral lists this ribosomal RNA (174 nucleotides) under uncultured Bacteroidota bacterium. RNAcentral describes it as "uncultured Bacteroidetes bacterium partial 16S ribosomal RNA". It matches the Rfam family "Bacterial small subunit ribosomal RNA", at positions 344 to 524 of the family's 1533-position model. The record is from RNAcentral. Lineage: Bacteria; Pseudomonadati; Bacteroidota.
GGGAGCAGCAGUGAGGAUAUUGCAAUGGAGGAAAGUCUGACCCAGCCAUGCCGCGUGCAGGAUGACGGCCCUACGGGUUGUAAACUGCUUUUAUACAGGAGAACCCCCACGUUGCGGACUGACGGUACUGUUUGAAUAAGGACCGGCUAACUCCGUGCCAGCAGCCGCGGUAAU